CACCUAGAAGAAUCUGAUGUGAUCUCCUACAUUCUUGCUGGUUUACCUUCAGACUAUGAUUCUCUUGUCACGUCUGUGACUACCCGGUUGGAGUCUAUUUCACUGGAUGAACUGUAUGGGUACUUGUUAACCCACGAAA
Molecule: small nucleolar RNA, 139 nt
Organism: Alnus glutinosa
Lineage: Eukaryota; Viridiplantae; Streptophyta; Magnoliopsida; Fagales; Betulaceae
Product: small nucleolar RNA Z247
Exons: 1
Source: RefSeq, a predicted model, not a curated record